RNAcentral lists this ribosomal RNA (289 nucleotides) under uncultured Chryseobacterium sp. RNAcentral's name for it is "partial 16S ribosomal RNA". Lineage: Bacteria; Pseudomonadati; Bacteroidota; Flavobacteriia; Flavobacteriales; Weeksellaceae. The record is from RNAcentral.
CUACUCGGGUUUCUAAUCCUGUUCGCUCCCCACGCUUUCGUCCAUCAGCGUCAGUUGUUGCUUAGUAACCUGCCUUCGCAAUUGGUGUUCUAAGUAAUAUCUAUGCAUUUCACCGCUACACUACUUAUUCCAGCUACUUCAACAACACUCAAGACCUGCAGUAUCAAUGGCAGUUUCACAGUUAAGCUGUGAGAUUUCACCACUGACUUACAGAUCCGCCUACGGACCCUUUAAACCCAAUAAAUCCGGAUAACGCUUGCACCCUCCGUAUUACCGCGGCUGCUGGCAC